This 1052-nucleotide long non-coding RNA is filed under the name Equus asinus (donkey). Its description in RNAcentral is "lncRNA (ENSEASG00005027677.1)". Lineage: Eukaryota; Metazoa; Chordata; Mammalia; Perissodactyla; Equidae. The record is from RNAcentral.
UCUCAGAAUAAAAUGGACAGAGGAGAGGCAAGGUGUGAAACCAGAUAAGUCUAUUCAUAAACGUAAGGAAAAUUCCUGAGGAGCUCAGACAGGAAGAUGUUUAAUUUAAUCCCAAGCUUUUCUGAUUUGGGGAUUUGAGCUCUGUAAUACAUCUUGCAUGUUAGGUUGGGCAUUCUCCUAGUCACUCAAAUUGAUUUGAAGUGAACGAUCUGAGGUGAUCUACUGGGGCGAGGAAUAUGGACAGAUAAGCAGAGCAGUGGAGAUAGGGAAGUUUCUGUCUCCUUCCUGGAUUCCUGUCAACGGCUUAGGUACAUACACCUGCUAUCCUCCCACUGUCUGAGUCAACUCUGCCCCUUUCCCAGUGCAAUGUGCAGCUGCCACGUGGAAGUCAAAUUCAAAAGACAUCAAGCUAGGACCCCACCUUGCAUUUGAAUUACUUUUUUUUGAAAUUGUCCACAUCCAAGUUUAUUGAUCCGUGCAGUCUUUUCAAUAUUUCCUUAUGCUGCACAUGGGUGGGGCCAGAGACUUUCUUGUUGUGUCCUGUUAGUCCUCCGAAGUAGAAUGCGUGGAACGGAGUUACAAGGAACUCUGUGCUGGUUUCAAGCCUCAGGGAAAUUCAAGAACCAGAAAGCCAGGCUAGAGGUGAGGUUAGUCAUUUCCCACGUCUGUGACCCCAUUCAGGGGCCUUGUAACGCUAGUGCCCUUCAAGUAACAUAAAACCAGACUCCUCAAAAGGCGUUGCAACAGGUUUCCACGAAUUAUUUAUCAAAGCCGGUGACCCAGGCCCCGUGACGCGUCGAUCUGGAAUUCAUGGCUUUUUCCUAAAGGAAAAGUCAGCCCAUAGUUCCUCCCGGCAUCCUCGGGUACUAUUUGGAUUCCCGGGAGAUUCGGAAGGGCGGAGGGGAGGACAUGGGGCUUCCAUGGAGGGUAGGACGGUGAAGUCCAGGCCGCCGAUGGCCCGCGCCACCCACCAUCGCCCUCGCGAGUGGACAAGUCACGCGGGAACGCCAGCUGUCAGUUCCCUCGCCCUGAGGCUCGGAGGAGCCCGGCCG